GGUCCGGCCGGGCCUUUCCCUCUGUGGAACCCCAUGCCCUUCACUGGGUGUGGCGGGGAAACAGGACUUUUACUGUGAAAAAAUUAGAGUGCUCCAGGCAGGCCUAUGCUCGAAUACAUUAGCAUGGAAUAAUAGAAUAGGACGUGUGGUUCUAUUUUGUUGGUUUCUAGGACCGCCGUAAUGAUUAAUAGGGACAGUCGGGGGCAUCAGUAUUCAAUUGUCAGAGGUGAAAUUCUUGGAUUUAUUGAAGACUAACUACUGCGAAAGCAUUUGCCAAGGAUGUUUUCAUUAAUCAGGAACGAAAGUUAGGGGAUCGAAGACGAUCAGAUACCGUCGUAGUCUUAACCAUAAACUAUGCCGACUAGGGAUCGGACGAUGUUAUUUUUUGACUCGUUCGGCACCUUACGAGAAAUCAAAGUGCUUGGGCUCCAGGGGGAGUAUGGUCGCAAGGCUGAAACUUAAAGAAAUUGACGGAAGGGCACCACCAGGGGUGGAGCCUGCGGCUUAAUU
Molecule: ribosomal RNA, 510 nt
Filed under: Fusarium decemcellulare
Lineage: Eukaryota; Fungi; Ascomycota; Sordariomycetes; Hypocreales; Nectriaceae
Description: SSU rRNA
Rfam family: Eukaryotic small subunit ribosomal RNA
Source: RNAcentral